AACGCGAAGAACCUUACCCAGGCUUGACAUCCUGCGAAUCUUUCCGAAAGGAGAGAGUGCUUUAUUGAGCGCAGUGACAGGUGUUGCAUGGCCGUCGUCAGCUCGUGUCGUGAGAUGUUUGGUUAAGUCCAUCAACGAGCGCAACCCUUAUAGCUAGUUGAAUUUCUCUAGCUAGACUGCCCUGGUAACAGGGAGGAAGGAGGGGAUGAUGUCAGGUCAGUAUUACCCUUACGUCUGGGGCUACAAACACGCUACAAUGGCCGGUACAAAGGGCUGCCAAGUCGCGAGACGGAGCAAAUCCCAUCAAAGCCGGUCCCAGUUCGGAUAGCAGGCUGAAACUCGCCUGCUUGAAGUCGGAAUCGCUAGUAACGGUGAGUCAGCACAUCACCGUGAAUACGUUCCCGGGCCUUGUACACACCGACGCAC
RNAcentral lists this ribosomal RNA (426 nucleotides) under uncultured bacterium. RNAcentral describes it as "bacterial SSU rRNA". It matches the Rfam family "Bacterial small subunit ribosomal RNA", at positions 958 to 1398 of the family's 1533-position model. The record is from RNAcentral.